This 440-nucleotide ribosomal RNA is filed under the name uncultured bacterium. RNAcentral describes it as "partial 16S ribosomal RNA". It matches the Rfam family "Bacterial small subunit ribosomal RNA", at positions 338 to 795 of the family's 1533-position model. The record is from RNAcentral.
CCUACGGGUGUCAGCAGUGGGGCAUAUUGCACAAUGGGGGAAACCCUGAUGCAGCGACGCCGCGUGAGUGAAGAAGUAAUUCGUUAUGUAAAGCUCUAUCAGCAGGGCAGCAAAUGACGGUACCUGAGUAAUAAGCCCCGGCUAACUACGUGCCAGCAGCAGCGGCAAUACGUAGGGAGCAGGCGUUAUCCGGAUUUACUGGGUGUAAAGGGAGCGUAGACGGCAGUGCAAGUCUGGAGUGAAAGUCGGGGGCUCAACCCCCGGACUGAGCAGGAAACUGUAAGGCUGGAGUGCAGGAGAGGUAAGUGGAAUUCGGAGUGUAGCGGUGAAAUGCGUAGAUAUUAGGAGGAACACCAGUGGCGAAGGCGGCUUACUGGACUGUAACUGACGUUGAGGCUCGAAAGCGUGGGGAGCAAACAGGAUUAGAUACCCGAGUAGUC